UACAAAGGGGGCAAGCGUUGUUCGGAAUUACUGGGCGUAAAGGGCGCGUAGGCGGCCUUCUAAGUCAUGCGUGAAAUCCCCGGGCUCAACCCGGGAACUGCGUCUGAUACUGGAAGGCUUGAAUCCGGGAGAGGGAUGCGGAAUUCCAGGUGUAGCGGUGAAAUGCGUAGAUAUCUGGAGGAACACCGGUGGCGAAGGCGGCAUCCUGGACCGGUAUUGACGCUGAGGCGCGAAAGCCAGGGGAGCAAACGGG
Molecule: ribosomal RNA, 253 nt
Filed under: uncultured bacterium
Lineage: Bacteria
Description: partial 16S ribosomal RNA
Rfam family: Bacterial small subunit ribosomal RNA
Source: RNAcentral